GAGAGAGAGAGAGAGAGAGAGAGAGAGAGAGAGUCUAAGAGUAAGUGUUUUGAGUCGAUUCAACAAUCUUUUCUAUAUGCUUCCGAGUGAUAUUUCAUUGAAGCCUAUGCGACUUCCAGUUGGUGUUCUUCUGCUCACUACAAGUCGUGCUCAUGACACAGAAGUGGGUCUCAGUUUCUUGCAUUACAUGAACAUGGAUGAAACCAAGGAAUCCACGACAUGGAUUUGGAUCCAGCAGCCUUGACAAUCUCAGAUGUGUCAGUCCCUCCAAGUAGUCUUUCACUUCUACGGAUCUCCUUAAAGAACAACAACAUGAUCACGAGCAAGAAUGCUCUGUAACAUCUCAAAUCUCUCCCUUCUCUUUCUGGUCUUUCUGCUGAACUUGCUCAAAUGACGUCCGCAUCAUUCGCUGCAAGAGUUGGGAGCUCCCAUCUCCUCUCAUGCAGUCAGUUGAUCAUCACACCGACAUCUCCUACAGCCAGUGAUAUCAACAACAGCUUCGCUGUUCUCAACAACUCCUCCAUCCUACAACGAAGCCACAAUCGAGUUCAACGAUCAAACACGAGUUCAAAGCUCAAUUUGACGCCUCAAUCUGAAACCAUUCCGUUCCAAGUCUCUCUUCAGGUGUUCUUCGAGUGGUCUACUGCUGUUCGUUCUCUCUCAUUAUCUCUUGCAUGGUGGAGCACAGCAGCUCCCUCCGCUGGGUUGGAGGGGCUCCUAUACCACCAUACUUGUAUGCCUUGCUUUUGUUGGUGGCAGUGCAAGCAAGAAGAGAGCCCAAGUGUUUUGGCUCAGAGGGUUGCCAGCUUUCUACCCUUCCGAGGUCUGAGCAGCUUUGUGUGACAUCCAAAGGGAAUUUUCAAGGUUAGGGAAGGAAGCCCAUCCGUCAUCAAGUACUCCGAAACCCUAUUUCCCUGUCUCCAAGACAUACAUGUAAUAUAAUAUACACAACACACACACAUCUCCAUCACACGGUCUCUUCCUUCUUCUUCUUCUUGCUAAUCGAUCUGUCAUACUGCAACUCUGCUCGUUCCCUCCACAUGCUUACACCAAAGCUUACAUACAAAUGGUGCAGAGAGAAUGGAGCAGCUCGACUGGACUACUCUCCUCAACUUGAGGUCACAUGCACAUCUUAAAGCACCGAGGAUCUCCAUGGACAGGGACUUCUCCUGCAGGAUCCAAGAUCUGAGGUCAAUAAUGUUCUGAUGAUGCAGUACAAGCUCCUCAGAUGGAAUAUAUUCCACAUGAUGCUUGAGGCUGUGAUGUACUUAGGAAGAUGCACAAGCAUUCUAUGAGUGUAACUAUAUCAACAUGUAGAUUUCUCGGAAGAGGUCCAGCCGAGACCGUGUGAAGAUAAACAGAAAAACAUCAGUCAUCAAAGCAUCCUAAAGAAUUUUGGGAUAGCAUUUCGAUGCAUACCUUGCAGCCGAUAUCACCUGAUUAAUCUAAUCUUAGAUUCUUUGUCA
Non-coding RNA from Musa acuminata subsp. malaccensis (wild Malaysian banana), 1466 nucleotides. The record is from RefSeq and is a predicted model, not a curated record. NCBI's taxonomy places the organism in Eukaryota, Viridiplantae, Streptophyta, Magnoliopsida, Zingiberales, Musaceae.